This is a long non-coding RNA of Gasterosteus aculeatus aculeatus (three-spined stickleback), 1479 nucleotides long. The record is from Ensembl. Lineage: Eukaryota; Metazoa; Chordata; Actinopteri; Perciformes; Gasterosteidae.
AGGCCAGAUUACUUCCUGGUUUAAAUGUAGGGUUUGCCGCAGGUUUCCCGAGCUCCACACUUGUCUCGGGAACGACUACGGCUGGACUGUGCGCUGAAGGACUAGUCGUGGAGCUCCCACCCCAUCUGUGCAGUCUCCAGGAACGGGGAAGUGAUGUCGGCAUUUCGGUGAUCGGAGUUCUAGCCACUGCUGUUUUUUCCCCUUUGCAAAUAUAUUUUGUAUUUAUGGUUACUAUGUUUUAUCCAAUAUUUUGAUCAUGCAUUGUUAGCUAAUUUGUUUUCUCGCCAGACAAGUUGUUGUUUGUUUGUUCUUUUCCUUCGUAAACCAACUGGAGCGGGUCCUACUCUGGGGUCCUCAAUGCCAGUACAGGUGGGCUGAUCAUAGGUCUAUAGGUCGUGGUUCACUAGGUGGAGGGCUUCCUCAUUCAUAGUUUAUUUGACAUGUUUUAUAUUUGUUGUGUGUUUUGCUUUGCAGUGCGUGUGUGUGACUUUUCCUUUCUGGUCCCUGGUGGUGGCCCCUUUCCCCUUCACUCCACCACUCCUUUAGCCCUCCCUGAUAGUCACCUUGUGCUGGUAAAACACCUCAGUGUAACGACGUACAUUUUUAGCAUAGAUAUUUUUGUAUUAAAAGCCUUAUUUUUAAAUCUAGACCGUUAACCAACAUGAAGCCUAUCCAUAAAUCUCCUCAGUGUGCAGUAGUAUAUACAAAUAGUAUAUCUCUGUUAUUCUCAGAGAAAGACAUAACAUUUUUUGAAAGAGUCAGACUACCUGGAGCAGCUACAGCGGGUGAUGACACACAGCAUCUGGAGCACCAGGAGCCAAGAUCUCUAAGCAACAUUCGGACACAAACCAGAGAUUCUGCAAUAAAUGUCAGUGAAUCUACAGACAACCGUUGUACUGAUUUUGUGCUGAAUAAAAGAGGGAAUGCUUAAAUACAUGGAUUUUGUAUGUUUUUUUCAAUGUGACUGUUGUGUGUAAUGAGCACAUUCAAUCACGUUCAGAUGAGAUGGUAUGCUGCAGUUUCUGCAUGUUUGCCAGGUGGUGUGACAAAAGAAAAUGUUAAUUCAUUUAAUUUAAUUAAUAUAUUUAAUGGGAUUCUGUACAAGAAGAUAGUCGUCAUUGUUUAGCUUUACGUAUCGCAAACAAAGUUAAAGCUUAGAUCUACGUAAUAUCCUGAUAGAGAGCAGAUGAUUCAUUUCAUAACGAAAGGACAUGUCCCACAUCCUUCCCGUCCUCUUAAAAAGCCUGUUGGACUUCGUCAUGUGGGCCAUGCAGCGACUCUUUAAUGUACUUAUCACACCACAAACGCUUGGUCUGGAAUUGCCACAAAAACAGACUCGCACACGUGGAGCGGCGGCGGCGGUGCUCCUCCGCCCCGAGGAUCCGCUCAACGUCCGUUUUACCCAACAACACACACACACACCUGCACACAGAGAAUCACACAGGGCCUGGAUGGGGUCCUGGGGGCAUAGACGGAUGA